Molecule: long non-coding RNA, 1096 nt
Filed under: Serinus canaria (Common canary)
Lineage: Eukaryota; Metazoa; Chordata; Aves; Passeriformes; Fringillidae
Description: lncRNA (ENSSCAG00000015181.1)
Source: RNAcentral
GGGAGGCUAGAGAGGAGAGAAACUGCAGGACACAGACACAAAUAAUCAGUCCUGAGAUCUCCUCGUCUUUCCAUCAAUCUCUCCCAUUUUGUGCAUUCCUGUGCAUGCACUCAGGCUGCCACACAGCCCCAUCCUGCUCCAUGAUAUAUCUGAACUAUGGCACCUACUGAAGUCCCACCUACUCUUGCACACCCACGCUCACACACAGCAGGAAGCCAGAGGAGCAGAGUACAAGCACCUCAUGACUGCCUGCAGGUGUCCUUCCCCACCGUUCCUGGACAGCCAACAGCCCUUGUGACAUUUCAGACUCCUGCUCACUCCCCCGCCCACCCACCGAGAGACGUAUCUCUUCCUCUCCAGCUCUCCUCUUUCCACACCUCUGUGUCUGUGCUGUCACCAGGGGCAGGUGGCUGGAAGGAGGGGGCCUUUCUCCAUGGAUUCCCACCGGUUCCUUGUGGCCAUGCUGCUCCCUGUGGGCUGAGCCCUUCAGCAAUCACCCGAUACACUUGCCCAGGUGGGAAACACUGUCACUCUGGAAUGUUCUGGACUGGGGAAUGUAGUCAAGACCAUGUCCUGGUAUAAGUUACCCAUAGAGAAGAAUGCCAGUCUGCAGCUGGUUGUAUAUUCAGUGGAAGGUGGCAAAGCAGAUAUUGAGAAGGAAUUCAAAAAUCGCUUCCAGAGUAAUGGGACUAAGAACAACCAUUUAUCUGUGAAGAUACAGCAUGCCCUACUCAAUGACUCAGGCACAUAUUUCUGUGCUGAACAAGAUCCACAGUGAGUCAAAGGCUGGUGCAGCACAGCACAAACAUUUCCAGGCAAACAGGGAUGUGCCACCAGCACACACUGAGCCCUGUGUUUGACAGAACCCUUUUUUCUGCCCUCCAGCUCUUUAGGAAGGUCUAUGUCUGUCUGUCCAUCUGCAUGUCUUCAGCAUGGUCUCCGUCUGCUUUUCUGUUCUUUCCCAUCUCUGAAUCACCUUCUCACUCUGGUUUCUUCUUGUCCUCACUGUCUCCACUUAUUCUGUGCCAUUCACUGACAGCUUUGCACCUUCCUCCUUCCAAGUCUUUCUGUCUGUCCCCUUGUCCUUUCCCUUCUG